UAUUGGCUGACGCUGUACACGUGAGCAGUACACUGCAUCCGGUUUUUUUUUUUUUUUUUUUUUGCGCACAAAAAGUAUUCUCGUAGGUUUGGAACAACAUGAGGGUUAGUAAUUAAUGACAGAAUUUUCAUUUUGGGGUGAACUAACCCUUUAAUCGUCGUUUUCAGCUGUCAAAUGUUCUGAAUAAUAACAGUGCUCUUCUUCUUCUUCUUCUUCUGUGGAUUUAUUGGCGGGUUGUAAACCAACUGGAAAGGUGCAUACCGCCACCUACUGUGCUGGAGUGUGACGAAGAUGAAAAAUCACGGUGCUCAUUCGGGCAAAUGCUUUAUAAAUGACCGCCAAUCUCACCAGUACUAGGUUCAUCUUUCUCAUGUCACUGCGCGCUGUCUUUUCAUAUUAACGGAAGUAUGGCGCCAUCUAUGGGCUCAAACGGUAACUGAUUGGAUUAAAAAUUUCUUUGGAUUGUUAUGAAGAACGUGAUCCUUUUGGUUGAUCACCAAGAGUCCCCAAGACACCGAAAACAUCGAAAGAACAAGGUACAGAACAGACCUGCUGCAACACACCAAAUGAGAACCACUGCAGAGAUGUAAACUAACCUGAAUCAUGCAAUAUAAUGCAGCUCCACACUAUGGACAAUGAAGAAGGUACAUGAAAGUACAGGGAAAGAGCAGAGGAGAACAGGACAGGGACAUGACCUUGGACCGAGGUGAACCCGGAUCCCUCUGUGUCACAGCACCAUUGACUAUUCUGUUGUAAGGAAACCUCCUGUAUUAUUAUCCUGGUUUCAAGUUCACCCAUCCCCAAUCAGACACAGGGGGGAGUUCACAUAAAACACGUUCUUGCGCUCUAAAACGGCUAGACAGAGCAAAACAUAAUGGAAUAGAGUGAGAGAAGAAUCUCAAGAUUUCUUUUUAAAAAUAAAAAAUAAAAUUUUAACCUGACAAACCAUUUUGAAAACUCAACAUUGUCGGAGCCAUAAGCUUGUGGGCAGCACUCCAACAUAUAGCGCAGCUGUACCUCAGGCAACCCGAGUUUCGAAUCCUGGCUUGUGGUCCUUUCCUGGUCCUGUUCCUUUCUCUCCUCUCCAAUUGUUUCCUGUCUAUCUCUAUAGUCCCAUAAAAUAAUCUAAAAAUAAUAGUUAACAUCAUUAUUCAACUAGACUUUAACACUUUUUAGCAGCAGUGCUUUAAUUAGCAUUCUGACAGAAUGCUAAUCGACUGGUCAAUUAGUCAACAACUGUGACCCAUCCCUAAUGUAAGCUAAAUAUAAAGCACAAACCCUUAUCAUGCUCCAUAUUAAAGGCCAUAAACUUGUGCUAGUCUGGAGUACAUUAUUUACACAAUAGGGUGGCCAAAUCCGACUUGUAAAGUGAGCAAUAAAAAGCUCAUUUUAAUUGACUGUUCCCUGAAUCUCAACCACAUGCGGCUCUUAUAGUAUGUCUGCCCUCCAAAACCAAAGCAAUUCCAUUGUAAAUGCACAUGUCCGGGAACAGCAAAGAUUCCAUCGCAGAAGUUCAAGGUUAUCAAGUAAUCUCGCCCUUGUGAUCACUGUGAAUAGUUAAACAAUCUUUUAUGAGUGCUAUCAUUCCUCCAGAUGGUACAAUAGGAUGUUUGCUUUCCUCAAAUGUGUGUUUACAAGAAAUGGACGUCACAUAAAAGGGACCUACGGCAUAGAUCCUGUGUGGCAAGCGGAGCCACAUUAUUCUACAACUUAGUGUGAGGCUGGAGGACUGUGUGACAUCCAUGUCUAAACAAUGAGCUCCUCUGUAAUAGCAUGCUAGCUGCAGGGUCUCUUGAUGCGCCUGCAAACGCGACAUGCCUAAAUAGGCGGGCCCACACAUUCUCAUGAGGGCAAGCAUGUCGCAUGUCCCCCUAGAGAAUGCGUCACAUGUCACUUCUACAAGACAUGAUUGUAUAAGAUAAUGAGUUUUCUAUAUCUGCUAAUGCAGUUGAUUAUCAGGUCUCCGUGUUUCAUUUACUUAUAAUGAAUGUUUUUGCUUGAAAAGCUACUAAAAAUACUUAACAUACUGGUAAAGUAUCUAUUCCCUUAUAACCACUUCAUUUAAUGACAAAUCAUGAAUAAAUCUGAGAGUAUGAAACCGUGCUAACUUUAUACACCACUGUUUGUUCCUCGCUCUGUUUUUGUACG
Ctenopharyngodon idella (grass carp) is the source of this 2148-nucleotide long non-coding RNA. RefSeq lists it as uncharacterized. The record is from RefSeq and is a predicted model, not a curated record. The transcript is spliced from 3 exons. Lineage: Eukaryota; Metazoa; Chordata; Actinopteri; Cypriniformes; Xenocyprididae.